This 458-nucleotide long non-coding RNA is filed under the name Brassica napus (rape). RNAcentral's name for it is "long non-coding RNA (BNAP_LNC023153)". The record is from RNAcentral. Lineage: Eukaryota; Viridiplantae; Streptophyta; Magnoliopsida; Brassicales; Brassicaceae.
UGUUGUUGACUGGUUAUAAUGUGUGGUGUGAUUGAAAACCUGAGGAUUGUUAAAGAUUGAUAAAUUAAAAUGUUUAGAAUCUUUCCCAGGAUACUUUAAGAGCUUUGUUUGGUGACUGAAUGUGCUUAAUAUGCUUAGCUCCAGUUCAUAGUGAUGCUUAGUGUGAUUAAUUGAAUCUGCUUGCAUACAUGGAUUGAAACUGAAUUUAAAGCUGUUGCAUAUAGUCUUGUGGCUGUCUUACAUUGAAGCAUUAGAUUCAUGUCUAAAGUGCUGAGUAAAGAAGCUUUAAAAGUGUCUAAGUAACUUGUCUUGAAUCUGGUAGGAUCUUGCAUGUACUUAGAGAGUUAGCUUGCAAAGAAUAGAACUUGAUAAUGCCUUGUGUCUAUCUGUUGCAUUGCUUGUGAUAUUGGGAAUCAAACUUGAUGAUUUAUUAAUCAAGUUUUGACAUCAAUACUAUU